CUACACCAUCAACUUCAUCCUCAACAUCAACAGAUGCAUCACUUCUCAGUGCUGAUGUUUCCUCUAUAGCACAAGCUCUAUAAUUAUAGCUGAUAUCCUGCACAGCCCAGAGUUUAAACUGAUAAGUGUGUGCUGUCAUAUUAUUAGAAAAAACUAUUGAAUUCCCACCAAACUGUGUAAAUACCAGUCACUUUUGCCCAUGGACAUUUCAGAAUUUUUAAUAUAUAGUAGUGCCUGUCAAAUGUCUAGGUGUCAGACACUCAGUGAUGCAUUCUGUACCUGAACAGAUGGAUUAUAUUAAAAUUUAUAAUUAGAACUGAAAAAUGUUUAUGUGAGUGUAUGUGUGUGUGUGUGUGUGUCCAUGUCCAUUUUGCUUGGGGCCCCCAAAUUCCUUCAAACGGCCCUGUAGUGUGUGUGUGUGUGUGUGUUUGUGUGUGUAUUGGUUUAUUAACUUAUAUACUUAAAAUCUAGAUAUCUGCAUACAGCAACAUUUCAUACUUCAAUAUAUGUGCUUAAAAAAAUAAAAAUAAAAAGUACAUUUGCAUGUGAUAAAUAAUAGAUGAUCUUCUUAACAUUUUCAUUGUUAAAUUACCUUUUCCCAUAAAUCUUUAAAUGUUUAUUCCAAUAAAACACUUGUCUUCCAAUAAUAAUAUAAUGCAAUAAUUUGUUGUGUGAUUUCAAACAGCUUUUCUUCAUUUGAGCUGAAUCUUGUAUAACAUCUCUGUGACGUGUGAAGAGAUUGAGACUGAAUACAGACUCCAUGCUGUUAUAAUGAAUCAAACUAAUAAUCCUGACUGUGAUCAGAGCUGGUAUCUACAGGACAGGCGUCUGAUAGCAGAUCCAUCAGAUCCUCAGAAACUGACUGAUCCUGUGAUUUCUGUCUCGUCUGAUCGUCUCGUCACGUCUCGCUGUGUGAAUCUGACUCAUCAGAUCAUCUGUCAUUCUGUUGGAUUCAGACUGGAGCCCAUGUUCAGAGAUGAGAGAAAGACGAUGUUUCUGGAGGACAGACGAUGAUCUCUGUGUGGAGAGGUUGAGAGUAUAAUGUUGGGACUCCAUCAGUCUUUGUGUGGCAUCGGCUGAAAUCAGUGGAUCUGUAGUUCCCUGAAUCUUCAGUCGUUUCAGUCUCUCGGAGCAGACAGUGUCUUUCAGAGAGAAUCAGUAAACACUCACUUCCUGAGGACAGGGACGCUCUGCAACAUUUAUGCGUCUUGUGGACUGUGUAAUAUGUUGAUGAUACAUGAGAUGAGACACAGACCACAGACUGAACUACUGCAUCAACAUGUGCUUUAAUGUGAUUCUCACAGGUGUAUUCACACACAUGUUCUGCUAGAAUACAUUACACCUCCCUUUUUAACAACUCAGAGCUUCAAUCAUUUGUUUGAACACUCAACAAUGUAUUUAAUGUCAGCAUGAAAUGCUCUCUGUUUCUUCUGUAUCCGUUCAUCAGGUGUGUGGACAAAGAAAGAUCUCAGCAGCUCAUGUUUGCUCAGCACAGUAGCUGCUGGUUUACUUUUUUUCUGUGCUUGAUAUGCUUCUGUUAUCUCCUGGAAGUCUGUCUGUUAAAUGUCCAGAUAAAGAUCUGGAUCAGUGUUAUUUGUAGGUUUUUUUUGUUUUUUUUUUUUUUUUGGAUCCUCUGACUUCAAACUAGACACUGAAACAAAAAAAAGUCACUUAGGAUAAAAGCGUCUGCUAAAUUAAUAAAUGUAAAAGAAACCCGUCUGUUCCGAAACA
Long non-coding RNA from Cyprinus carpio (common carp), 1731 nucleotides. NCBI's taxonomy places the organism in Eukaryota, Metazoa, Chordata, Actinopteri, Cypriniformes, Cyprinidae. The record is from Ensembl.